GGUGAUUCUCAUCACUAUUUCUUGUAUUUUUGAUUGUUCAGUGAUUUUCUUUUAAUUCUAGCAUGUCUUCAAUUGUUUACCUCUAGUUAUCAGACAUAAUGCCAGUGGCAUAGAGUGAAUGUGUUUGUAUGAAUGGAUUCUUAUUUCCAGGCAAACUGCCUCCUCCGGUGCACCUCAGCUGUUGGUUUUUCUCCACUGACGUACUUCCAUUGGUUUUUCCCGAUGGCUGAGGUGCGUCGGUGGUAUGUCUACCCCCACACUUUCUUUCUUGUGGGAGUGGAGAUGUCAGAAUGUUUGGGUUGGGUCUGGUUGGUAUUGCUGACAGCUUCUGUCCC
This 335-nucleotide long non-coding RNA is filed under the name Androctonus crassicauda. Lineage: Eukaryota; Metazoa; Arthropoda; Arachnida; Scorpiones; Buthidae. The record is from RNAcentral.